This 657-nucleotide ribosomal RNA is filed under the name uncultured eukaryote. RNAcentral describes it as "SSU rRNA". It matches the Rfam family "Eukaryotic small subunit ribosomal RNA", at positions 591 to 1248 of the family's 1831-position model. The record is from RNAcentral.
CUCAUAGCGUAUAUUAAUGUUGUUGCAGUUAAAAAGCUCGUAGUUGGAUUCCUGACCUGGGGUAGCCGGUCCGCCUUGCAAAAGGUGCGCACUGAGCGGCCUCGGUCAUCCUUGAGAAGAGCGGUCCUGGCAUUCAGUUGUCGGGGUCGGGAUUCUCGACGUUUACUGUGAAAAAAUCAGAGUGUUCAACGCAGGCUUACGCCUUGAAUACAUUAGCAUGGAAUAAUGAGAUAGGACCUUGGCGGUCUAUUUUGUUGGUUUGCACGCCGAGGUAAUGAUUAAAAGGGACGGUUGGGGUUCUUCGUAUUCAAUUGUCAGAGGUGAAAUUCUUGGAUUUAUGGAAGACGAACUGCUGCGAAAGCGUCGAACAAGGACGUUCUCAUUAAUCAAGAACGAAAGUUAGGGGAUCGAAGAUGAUUAGAUACCAUCGUAGUCUUAACCAUAAACUAUGCCGAUUCAGGAUUGGCGGUCGUUUGUUCUCGACUCCGUCAGCACUGUAUGAGAAAUCAAAAUCUUUGGGUUCCGGGGGGAGUAUGGUCGCAAGGCUGAAACUUAAAGAAAUUGACGGAAGGGCACCACCAGGAGUGGAGCCUGCGGCUUAAUUUGACUCAACACGGGGAAACUUACCAGGUCCAGACAUAGUAAGGAUUGACAGAU